Molecule: ribosomal RNA, 177 nt
Filed under: uncultured Streptomyces sp.
Lineage: Bacteria; Bacillati; Actinomycetota; Actinomycetes; Kitasatosporales; Streptomycetaceae
Description: partial 16S ribosomal RNA
Rfam family: Bacterial small subunit ribosomal RNA
Source: RNAcentral
ACUCCUACGGGAGGCAGCAGUGGGGAAUAUUGCACAAUGGGCGCAAGCCUGAUGCAGCGACGCCGCGUGAGGGAUGACCGCCUUCGGGUUGUAAACUUUUUUCAGCAGGGAAGAAGCCCAAGUGACGGUGCCUGCAGAAGAAGCGCCGGCUAACUACGUGCCAGCAGCCGCGGUAAU